UACGUAGGCAGCAAGCGUUGUUCGGAAUUACUGGGCGUAAAGGGUGCGUAGGCGGCUUUUUAAGUUUGGUGUGAAAUCUCCCGGCUCAACUGGGAGGGUGCGCCGAAUACUGAGAAGCUAGAGUGUGGGAGAGGAAAGUGGAAUUCCUGGUGUAGCGGUGAAAUGCGUAGAUAUCAGGAGGAACACCGGUGGUGUAAACGGCUUUCUGGACCAUAACUGACGCUGAGGCACGAAAGCGUGGGUAGCAAACAGG
This 253-nucleotide ribosomal RNA is filed under the name uncultured bacterium. Its description in RNAcentral is "partial 16S ribosomal RNA". It matches the Rfam family "Bacterial small subunit ribosomal RNA", at positions 524 to 776 of the family's 1533-position model. The record is from RNAcentral. RNAcentral also lists the same sequence under 1 other name.